RNAcentral lists this ribosomal RNA (251 nucleotides) under uncultured Enterococcus sp. RNAcentral's name for it is "partial 16S ribosomal RNA". It matches the Rfam family "Bacterial small subunit ribosomal RNA", at positions 95 to 339 of the family's 1533-position model. The record is from RNAcentral. Lineage: Bacteria; Bacillati; Bacillota; Bacilli; Lactobacillales; Enterococcaceae.
GUGGCGGACGGGUGAGUAACACGUGGGUAACCUACCCAUCAGAGGGGGAUAACACUUGGAAACAGGUGCUAAUACCGCAUAACAGUUUAUGCCGCAUGGCAUAAGAGUGAAAGGCGCUUUCGGGUGUCGCUGAUGGAUGGACCCGCGGUGCAUUAGCUAGUUGGUGAGGUAACGGCUCACCAAGGCCACGAUGCAUAGCCGACCUGAGAGGGUGAUCGGCCACACUGGGACUGAGACACGGCCCAGACUCC